RNAcentral lists this ribosomal RNA (274 nucleotides) under uncultured bacterium. RNAcentral's name for it is "partial 16S ribosomal RNA". It matches the Rfam family "Bacterial small subunit ribosomal RNA", at positions 523 to 796 of the family's 1533-position model. The record is from RNAcentral.
AUACGGAGGGUGCAAGCGUUACUCGGAAUCACUGGGCGUAAAGCGCGCGCAGGCGGCCAUUUAAGUUGGAUGUGAAAGCCUACGGCUCAACCGUAGAACUGCAUCCAAAACUAUUUGGCUAGAGUGUGAGAGAGGAAGAUGGAAUUAGUUGUGUAGGGGUAAAAUCCGUAGAGAUAACUAGGAAUACCAAAAGCGUAGGCAAUCUUCUGGAACAUUACUGACGCUGAGGCGCGAAAGCGUGGGGAGCAAACAGAAUUAGAAACCCCAGUAGUCC